RNAcentral lists this ribosomal RNA (639 nucleotides) under uncultured bacterium. RNAcentral describes it as "bacterial SSU rRNA". It matches the Rfam family "Bacterial small subunit ribosomal RNA", at positions 232 to 885 of the family's 1533-position model. The record is from RNAcentral.
CGCGGCCUAUCAGCUUGUUGGUGGGGUGAUGGCCUACCAAGGCGUCGACGGGUAGCCGGCCUGAGAGGGCGACCGGCCACACUGGGACUGAGACACGGCCCAGACUCCUACGGGAGGCAGCAGUGGGGAAUAUUGCGCAAUGGGCGGAAGCCUGACGCAGCGACGCCGCGUGAGGGAUGACGGCCUUCGGGUUGUAAACCUCUUUCAGCAGGGACGAAUGUAGACGGUACCUGUAGAAGAAGCACCGGCCAACUACGUGCCAGCAGCCGCGGUAAUACGUAGGGUGCGAGCGUUGUCCGGAAUUAUUGGGCGUAAAGAGCUCGUAGGCGGUCUGUCGCGUCGAAUGUGAAAACCCGGGGCUCAACUCCGGGCUUGCAUUCGAUACGGGCAGGCUAGAGUUCGGUAGGGGAGUCUGGAAUUCCUGGUGUAGCGGUGAAAUGCGCAGAUAUCAGGAGGAACACCGGUGGCGAAGGCGGGACUCUGGGCCGAUACUGACGCUGAGGAGCGAAAGCGUGGGGAGCGAACAGGAUUAGAUACCCUGGUAGUCCACGCCGUAAACGUUGGGCGCUAGGUGUGGGGGUCCUUCCACGAUCUCCGUGCCGCAGCUAACGCAUUAAGCGCCCCGCCUGGGGAGUACGG